UACGGAGGGUGCAAGCGUUGUCCGGAAUUAUUGGGCGUAAAGCGCGCGCAGGCGGUUCCUUAAGUCUGAUGUGAAAGCCCACGGCUCAACCGUGGAGGGUCAUUGGAAACUGGGGAACUUGAGUGCAGAAGAGGAGAGUGGAAUUCCAAGUGUAGCGGUGAAAUGCGUAGAGAUUUGGAGGAACACCAGUGGCGAAGGCGACUCUCUGGUCUGUAACUGACGCUGAGGCGCGAAAGCGUGGGGAGCGAACAGG
This 253-nucleotide unclassified non-coding RNA is filed under the name uncultured Bacillaceae bacterium. RNAcentral's name for it is "contains 16S-23S intergenic spacer region". It matches the Rfam family "Bacterial small subunit ribosomal RNA", at positions 524 to 776 of the family's 1533-position model. Lineage: Bacteria; Bacillati; Bacillota; Bacilli; Caryophanales; Bacillaceae. The record is from RNAcentral.